RNAcentral lists this transfer RNA (71 nucleotides) under Thermochaetoides thermophila DSM 1495. Its description in RNAcentral is "Chaetomium thermophilum var. thermophilum DSM 1495 tRNA-Met". It matches the Rfam family "tRNA". From Rfam's summary of the family: Transfer RNA (tRNA) molecules are approximately 80 nucleotides in length. Their secondary structure includes four short double-helical elements and three loops (D, anti-codon, and T loops). The record is from RNAcentral. Lineage: Eukaryota; Fungi; Ascomycota; Sordariomycetes; Sordariales; Chaetomiaceae.
GCUUGAGUAGUUUAAAGGUAAAACCUUAAUUUCAUACAUUAAAGAUGAGAAUUCGACUUUCUCCUCAGGCU